Long non-coding RNA from Myxocyprinus asiaticus (Chinese sucker), 3310 nucleotides. RefSeq lists it as uncharacterized. The record is from RefSeq and is a predicted model, not a curated record. Lineage: Eukaryota; Metazoa; Chordata; Actinopteri; Cypriniformes; Catostomidae. The transcript has 4 exons.
ACGAAAGGGGAGGACACAGAUCAGCCUGGGAAAGGAAACAGACGUCCAGGGGUUCAGUGCCUGUCACUGCGAAAGCAAAUUCCAACUCUAAUUAACAACAAGAGUAACACUGGCUGCAUGAGGGUGGAUCACUGCACAGACUCUAAAGAUCCUGUUUGAAUUUAUCCUCUAGCAUAUAAAGGGAUGGACAGAAGAGAGGCAUUGGUGAUUUCUGCAAGUUUCAUCAUGUGUUUAGCAUUUACAGGCUUGGUGGAGGGCGCAGACAAGUGCAAGAGAAUACCAUGUGACAAAGAAACCUUUGAUGUUUGCGUUGAUAAAUACUGUGUUCUUCCGUUUCAUCAAACCAUGGCAGCGAUUGACUACCAACUGAAAUGUCCCUGGCCGAACACUAGAAAAUACUACAUCAAACUGAUUAUGUGCAUCGAGACUUUUGCAAACUCCACAUGCUGUACACACGUUUCCAGAGAUGAGAUCUUCAUGGAAAUCCACCAGGUCUAUUUCUCCAUGUGCUAUUAUAUGAACGAUCCAGGUUUGCACAUCCUACUAGCGCUCAUUGCGCCCUGCACCAUUGUCCCAUUUAUGGUACCAUUCCUUUGCCAGUACUUCAACUGAGUCUAAACUGCCAAUGGAGGACCAUUGACUGCCUAGUGCAUUACAGCAAAGUGUCUGAAUCAAAUCACUAGUAUUCUCAGGUGUUUUGACAGUGCUGGGUGAUUAUUCACAAUACAUUCGCAAUGAUUUUGUUUGAUAUAAAUUAAGCAACAAUAUUAACAUCAAAUAGUGAUUUUUAUGCAUUUUUGUAAUUUAUAUUGGCCAUAAAGACUACGUCGUUAGACUUGUUUAGCAUUCCCACCUUGUUUUGUGGUUUGAGAGUUUAGACUGAUGUUUUAAUAGGGUCUGAUUUAAACUCCAGUAGCAAAAAUAGUGUUUGAUAUAUUUCAGUCAUUCAGUUCAAACAUUCUGUUUCAGUUAAUUACACAAAAAAAAAAAAAAAAAUAAAUAAAUAAAUAAAUAAAUAAAGGCCAAUUAAUAUUACUAGUAUUCUCUAAUGUUUAGAUAGGGUUGGGCAAUGAUUCAUGAAGCCCCAGGCACACUACACUUCGCAAUUCACUACCAUUCAAAUGCAUCCGAACAUGGGAGACCAGAAACACAAGCUCAUGCGAAGAAAUUUCGCAUUCCGCCGGUUACAAAAGUUCAAGUUUGGUGACCUAUGACCUGCGAAUCUGGAUGACGAGAAGACUUGAGACCAAUAGGUGAUCGAAACGUAAAACACUAAUCUUGGCUCAGUUCAAAGAAAACUUAUUUCUGAGCUGCAUGUUUUUAUUGUUGUAGGAAAGUGAAUAGAUUAACAUUUUGAAUAUAAUAUUUGUGAUGUAUUAUUUGCUAAAACCAACAGUCUUAAUAUCCUGGUUCAUUGUGUUGUCUGAAAUAAUGUCACGUGCUCAAAUUGUAGUGUGACAGCCCUGGCGCAACCUUAAUACACUUGCCUUGAUUUUGUUUCAUGAUAGAAAAUGAACCAAUAAAUAUCACAAUAAUAUUAAUACACAUUUUAUAAAUUUUUUUAUUUGGCCAUUAAGUUUCCUAAAGACCACAUCAUUAGACUAGUUUCACAAUCCCACGUUGUUUUGCAGUUUGAAGUUUAAUAGCAUUCCGAUUUAAACGAGUUGGUUAGAGCAAUUUAUUUCCGCAAUUAGGUCCAAACUGUCUGUUUAGGUAUAUUGAUUCAAACCUGAUUCAGUGACCUUGUUUACAUGCACUUAAGAAAACGGUUUAUUCCAGGGUUUUCUGAAACGUCAUGUAAACGAGAACGCCGAUUUCCUUACACCGUUUAAGGGAUUAAGAGAAAGCGGUUUAACACUCAUAGGUUUCUCCCAGAUAAAGAUGCUUAUGUGGCCAUUUAAACACAUAAGAGGCAUUCUAAGGGGUUUUUAAGAAGUGCGCAUGUGCAUGAACAGACCGGAAAACGAACGUCAUAGGAUGGAGCCAUUCACCAUAUCAACAAGUCAACACAGCAGAAAGAAUUCAACAUUUCUGGGACUACAGUGGGAAAAGCACAUAGUAUCAGGAUCCCAACUCUCUAGUUUAUUUUUUGUUGUGUCGGGAUCCAGUCGCCUGUCUUCCUGGGUUUGUGCCUGUCUUGUGUAUCUAGUGUCAGGAUCCUGCCACUACGGUUGAUCUUGUUUAUAGUUUUUGAGGCUGGAUCCUGACACUAUUGUUGUGUGAGUGCACUUGGCUUUGUGUUUUCUCAUUGCCAUGUGCCCUCGUGUCUGUGCUGUCUUAAGUGAUACCCCAUCCCCUCGUUUGCCUUGUUAUUAGUUCAUUUGCCUCACCUGCCUUCCCUCAUUACCCUCCUCAUUUCCUUCCCUAUUUUAACUCCUCUUGUGUUUUGUCCUGUGCCAGAUUGUUUUGUGUUAGAUCCAGUCAGUUGGUUCCUGUUCUGCUCAUUAUUUCUUGGUCUGUCUUCCUGUUUGUUUGGUUCCUUAAGUUUUAGUCCAGUUUUUUUCUCCCUUGUGAGAGUGUUUUGUUUGCAUUUUGUUUAUUUUUUUAAUAAAGCCCAUUCACUUGUCUCUGUGUUUGGGUCGUUCCCUGGCAUUUCCUGACAUGUACACUAUAAACUAUACCCAUUUAUAAACACCAAUUUAUAAUAUCAAUGGUCCCUCAAAUUCGCAUAUAUGAGCUCGUACACGUGAGAAUUACACGUGAGAGGGAAACCCUUUAUUGCAGCGCAAUUCUACUGCAGGUCGCAAUAGAAAGUUAAGGAAACAAACAGAGCAACAACUCUGGAAUAUCUGGAAAUAAAGCGAAGCAACAGAGAAUAAAAUAGUAAAUUCUUCCUUGAAUACCAUUUUGGUUAUUUACACAAGCGUCACGGGAAAAUUAUGUAACUGUGGAGAAAGCUGCUUACUGACCGAGCCACAUGUAUAUGGGGGUAAAGUGUACUCCGCUUAUGCAGGGCAUGUAAACAAGAAUGCUGCUUUCUAGCAAUAAGCUGCUUUCUAGUGUCCAUGUAAACAUAGUCAUUGACCCCAUUUACAUGCACACCAAUAGGCUGAUUACUCUCUAAAAUCAGCUUAAUUAAAAAAUCUGACAAGAAAAUAAAUCAUUAUGUCAUAUGAUUAUGUCAUCAUUAUGUCAUUAUUACAUGACAUUUGAAAUAAUCUCGUUAUUCUCUACUUUUGACAUUAAACCUUGAAGAGACGUGCGCUCAACAUGUGCGCACAUUGGAUGAGCAGGUAAGAUCACCGGGUAACAUGGCAAAAUCGGCAUAAUGGGCAAAAAUCUACCCUUGUUGAUUGAUUUAUUCAUAAGA